This 63-nucleotide transfer RNA is filed under the name Thesaurus zaitsevi. Its description in RNAcentral is "tRNA-Glu". It matches the Rfam family "tRNA". Rfam says of the family: Transfer RNA (tRNA) molecules are approximately 80 nucleotides in length. Their secondary structure includes four short double-helical elements and three loops (D, anti-codon, and T loops). Lineage: Eukaryota; Metazoa; Arthropoda; Insecta; Coleoptera; Cucujidae. The record is from RNAcentral.
AUUUAUAUAGUUUAAUAAAAUAUUACAUUUUCACUGUAAAGAAGAAAUCCUUUUCUAUAAAUA